This is a long non-coding RNA of Helicoverpa zea (corn earworm), 548 nucleotides long. RefSeq lists it as uncharacterized. The record is from RefSeq and is a predicted model, not a curated record. Lineage: Eukaryota; Metazoa; Arthropoda; Insecta; Lepidoptera; Noctuidae. The transcript is spliced from 2 exons.
AGUUAUUAGUUCGCUAUUCGAUACGUGCGAUUUAGGUGCGCUUACUUUACCUACUGGCAGCCCUGUGAUGUCGGCGUAGCGGGGCGGAGCGCGGCGCAUCCCGGGAACAAAGCAGCGCCAGCGCCACUCGCCGCGAGCGUAGCAACCGACACGUCUUGAUACUUUGUGUUUAUAAUAUAAAUAGUUAGUGUGUGAGGUGGCAGCCCUGUGAUGUCGGCGUAGCGGGGCGGAGCGCGGCGCAGCCCGGGAACAAAGCAGCGCCAGCGCCACUCGCCGCGAGCGUAGCAACCGACACGUCUUGAUACUUUGUGUUUAUAAUAUAAAUAGUUAGUGUGUGAGGUGGCAGCCCUGUGAUGUCGGCGUAGCGGGGCGGAGCGCGGCGCAGCCCGGGAACAAAGCAGCGCCAACGCCACUCGCCGCGAGCGUAGCAACCGACACGUCUUGAUACUUUGUAUAUAGUGUGACUGUAAAUUAGUGAGUGAUACUUAAAAACGUGAAUGUGCUCAUGAUUAAAAACAACUUAAGCUUUUUUAUACUCAUUACAUUAA